GACCUCAAAUCAGGAAAGAAUACCCCGCUGAACUUAAGCAUAUCAAUAACCGGAGGA
This 57-nucleotide ribosomal RNA is filed under the name Funneliformis mosseae. RNAcentral's name for it is "partial 28S ribosomal RNA". The record is from RNAcentral. Lineage: Eukaryota; Fungi; Glomeromycota; Glomeromycetes; Glomerales; Glomeraceae.